RNAcentral lists this ribosomal RNA (253 nucleotides) under uncultured Desulfitobacterium sp. RNAcentral's name for it is "partial 16S ribosomal RNA". It matches the Rfam family "Bacterial small subunit ribosomal RNA", at positions 524 to 776 of the family's 1533-position model. The record is from RNAcentral. Lineage: Bacteria; Bacillati; Bacillota; Clostridia; Eubacteriales; Desulfitobacteriaceae.
UACGUAGGGGGCAAGCGUUGUCCGGAAUCAUUGGGCGUAAAGGGCGCGUAGGCGGAUAUUUAAGUCCGGUGUGAAAUCUCGGGGCUCAACCCCAAGACUGCAUCGGAAACUGGGUAUCUUGAGGACAGGAGAGGAAAGUGGAAUUCCACGUGUAGCGGUGAAAUGCGUAGAUAUGUGGAGGAACACCAGUGGCGAAGGCGACUUUCUGGACUGUAACUGACGCUGAGGCGCGAAAGCGUGGGGAGCAAACAGG